UUACUCACCUGUUAAGGGAGACACCAUGAUCUUUUGAUGGUUCACCCAGCGUGAGGCUCAGCCAUGGCACUCUGGUUGUGCUGACCCUUGCGAAUUCCCCAAAUGUGGGAAUCUUGACUGAAUAAUUUCUGGUAGUGGGGGACGGCAUUCGUACUUCCCUCA
Molecule: small nuclear RNA, 162 nt
Organism: Hemibagrus wyckioides
Lineage: Eukaryota; Metazoa; Chordata; Actinopteri; Siluriformes; Bagridae
Product: U1 spliceosomal RNA
Exons: 1
Source: RefSeq, a predicted model, not a curated record